GGCUGCCAAAGACAAGGCAAACUGCUCUAUUUACAGCUACCCAAACUAAGCAGGUUGAGGAUUUUGCGAACUUGUCAUUUAAGGAAAAGCCUGUAUAUGUAGGUGUU
This is a long non-coding RNA of Zingiber officinale, 107 nucleotides long. RefSeq lists it as uncharacterized. The record is from RefSeq and is a predicted model, not a curated record. The transcript is spliced from 3 exons. Lineage: Eukaryota; Viridiplantae; Streptophyta; Magnoliopsida; Zingiberales; Zingiberaceae.